Molecule: long non-coding RNA, 2104 nt
Filed under: Hordeum vulgare
Lineage: Eukaryota; Viridiplantae; Streptophyta; Magnoliopsida; Poales; Poaceae
Description: long non-coding RNA (HVUL_LNC008855)
Source: RNAcentral
CUUGUGCUUGUGCUUGUGUUUGGGUUUGGGGCUUGGGGCUUGGUGGGUGUACCCGGCGAGCGCACACCAGCACUAGUAGGUGCGCCCUAAUGAAUGAAUGGAGGACGUGGGGUUGGACGAUCGUGUAGUACCUCUUGGAUGGUUUUUGGAUGGAGAGUAUACUAGUUCAACAUCAAUUGACCAGGUCAUUUACGUGGAAAUUCUACACUCGCCCCAUAGUUUCUUUUCCCCAUUUUUUGGCAAAUGGUCAAAUAUCUUAUUUAGGAAAUGCAGCUAUUCGUUUUUUCCGUUUCUCUUCGUCAACCGGGGCAAUGGGGCAUACUGUAUUACUAUUUUUUAUCCGUUUCUCAUGAGACCAUGCAAAAGUAUUGAGCUUGAAACAAGCUUCAAAUGCCCCUUCUCCCCGCAUCAACAUUAGUACGUAGUAGAUUUUUCUGGGGAGUAGACACAUCAGCGUCAGCAUCACAUGGUGGCCAUGAAGAGCGUUUAUUCCCUUCUCCUAAUCUCUGCAUACCUCCGAUAUGUAUUCAUUCCUGAAUUACCCACCGACAUUUUUGUAGCAUCCCACGCUAGCUAUCAGUCUCCUCCUUUCUAAGAUUCUAGAAAAAAUCGACCCCAUCCCUAGCGCUAAGCACUAGCAUCAUGUCUUUGUGUGUGCGAUUGUGCAUGAAAGGAGAAGCAAAGCAAAGAAAAGAAGCAAGGAAAGGCGAGAUAGAAGAAUCUUGUCCAUCGGUUUGGUCACCUACCCGCCCGGUUCUCCUCCUCCUCUCCCGGCCUCCCUCUUGAUAUGCACGGACGGUGCAACUUGUCCUAGCCGGACAUUGUUCUGAUUAUUGGUGGGAUCCGCUAGCGUAGCUGCUUUAUUUUUCCUCCCAGCCUGGUUGGUUGGCGUGCAUGUUGCUGGUAUGGUGGAGGAGGUUCCGUACAAGCUUGCAUCGGAAGUCGCACUCCAUCCCGCGCAUUAUUAGUACAACACAGUGCAGUGCCUCAUACUACAACUUUUGCAAAAGAAAAUUAAAAAAAAUAUAAGGUUAGAUGCAUACAAUAUGUACUCAUGUUCUGUCAGAAUUUAUUCUUCUUGUAACAAAAACUCAUUUAAAGGGCAUUGACAUAUUUUAGAAUGUAAAUUCAUUCAUUUUAUUUCGUAUGUAGCCGCCUAGUAAAAUCAUUAGAAAGACUUAUAUUUAAAAACGGAGGAAGUACUUAGUAUGAAGUCGUUUGGGACUUGGUGGUGGUUUGAUUAUCUAGAAAAUAAUCGGUCCUAGUCCCAUCCAUGCAAUGAUCCAAACCGUCCGUUACCUUAAUUUGGUGUUAGGAGUUAAACCUCACUCUGCUGCGCUUUUCAUGCCCAAGAAGAAUAGAUAUACUCUAUCCAACAACUGAAAGCGCUUGUCUAACUCUAUCCAAAAUGAGAUUACAUGUCAUUAUAAGACACUUUAAAGUAGAUUUUUCUUUCUAACAAGUCCAUAUUAAUCCCAAAAAAGUUAUCUCAUUUUCCCUUGCAGCAAGCUAAACCUUUUAGCACGUUUCUUCGCUUGGGGGUGCACAUAACAUAAGCAUGCUCCAUGCAAUCAGAGUGUGGGAGAUGCCGAGUACUACCAAGAUCGAGAAGAAGAGGAGAAGAGGAUAAGAAAUGAGAUUCAUGUGGAACGGGUAGCUAGGGAAUUGAUUGGUGCGAAAUAACUCCGAGUGGUUAGGUUAGUUUUCUCCUCCUCUCCUCCUUGUUGGAUGCAGAUGCAUGUGUGGCCCAUAGCGACAAAGAUCUGGUAGUAGUAGUAGUAUCUCUGUCCAAGGAAAGGCACAUUGAAUGCAUCCAUCCAUCACCCACCUCCACCUCUCCCUCUCACUCUGUGUUCUCUGCUUGCAUUGCACCAACACCGCCCAUACAGACACAGAUGAGUGAACAGCGCUGCUGAGGGUAGGAGGCAGCAGGGUCUCCCCAGUAAUGGCACCGUCCUCCUCUUCCACCACCCUGCAUGCAUGUAUGCAUGGACCCUGUCUUCAUGAGCUACAACGUCAAACACACUAUCCAUACAUGUUGUACGUACGACUAAGCCGUCGCAGUACGUACUACUCGUAGGUGGUACUAGAAGCAGUACGUACA